RNAcentral lists this ribosomal RNA (194 nucleotides) under uncultured bacterium. Its description in RNAcentral is "partial 16S ribosomal RNA". It matches the Rfam family "Bacterial small subunit ribosomal RNA", at positions 328 to 539 of the family's 1533-position model. The record is from RNAcentral.
ACGCUCGACACCUACGGGAGACAGCAGUGAGGGAUAUUGGUCAAUGGGGGAAACCCUGAACCAGCAACGCCGCGUGAGGGAUGACGGCCUGGUUGUAACCUCUGUCCUCUGUGAAGAUAAUGACGGUAGCAGAGGAGGAAGCUCCGGCUAACUACGUGCCUGCAGCCGCGGUAAUCUGAGCGGGCUGGCAAGGC